Molecule: regulatory RNA element, 80 nt
Organism: Blautia sp.
Lineage: Bacteria; Bacillati; Bacillota; Clostridia; Lachnospirales; Lachnospiraceae
Rfam family: ZMP/ZTP riboswitch aptamer (pfl RNA motif)
About the family: Previously known as pfl RNA. ZMP is also known as AICAR.
Source: Rfam
CAGAUGUUAUAUAACUGGCGGAAGUGGAAUGAACCACAGGGAGUAUAACGUUGAUUUAGCCGACCGUCUGGGCAGAAGUU